This 810-nucleotide ribosomal RNA is filed under the name Triticum aestivum (bread wheat). RNAcentral describes it as "partial small subunit ribosomal RNA". The record is from RNAcentral. Lineage: Eukaryota; Viridiplantae; Streptophyta; Magnoliopsida; Poales; Poaceae.
GCGUCCAUAUAUGUUCGUGUUUCGGAAAAUCGAAUGGACCUUCUCAGGGCUGUGAUCAUUGGGCCUCAGGGAACACCCUACCAUGAUGGCCUUUUCUUCUUUGAUGCUCAAUUCACUGCUAGCUAUCCAGCGACUCCUCCAGUGGUAUACUAUCAUUCUGGAGGACUUCGGCUCAAUCCAAAUUUGUAUGACUGUGGAACAGUCUGCCUUAGCCUCCUGGGAACCUGGCAUGGUAACGGCUGUGAGAAUUGGAACUCAGCUCACUCAACCAUGCUACAGGUGCUGAUCUCCAUUCAAGGUCUCGUAUUGAAUGAAAAGCCAUACUUCAAUGAGCCAGGAUACGAGACCGAAGUCAACGAUGCUAAUGGACCGAGGAGGUCUUUGGAGUAUAAUGAUACAGCAUUUCAGCACUCGUGUAGAACAAUGUUGUACUCACUCCGUAGGCCUCCACAGCACUUUGAAGAUCUUGUUGCUGGCCACUUUCGUGAACGUGGCCAUGCCAUUCUGAAUGCAUGCAAAUAUUACAUGGAAGGUAACGAAGUUGGGUCCGUAGUUCCUGAUGAGGGCAAGGAGCUGGAAAAUGCAAAUGCUGAAGGAUCCAGCAACAGCAACGCAGUGAAGCCAAAGAAAUGUGCAGGUGCAGGUCGACGAACCGCAUCCUUCAAGGCUGACACGAAGGUUCUGUUUGAAGAGCUCCUGGUGGAAUUCAAUGUGAAGGGUGCCGACACCAAGAAGUUCUGUGCUGAGAAGUCGAAGAAGCCGCGUCAAAAAAAGAAGAAGUUGAAGAAGAGCCAGCCUGCUGCUGCUUGA